UGGCAGAGUUGUAAUAAAAGUAAGACAUAUUAUGACGUAGUUCUAUAUAUCAGUCAUAAUAUGAAAUGCGGUGGCAAAUUUGUAAAUAAAUUUAAGACAUAUUAUGACGUAAUUUUAUACAUCAGUCAUAAUAUAUAAAAGCGAUGGCAAACUUGUAAUUAACUUCAAAACUUAUUAUUACCUAGAUAUGAAUAUACGUUAUAAUAUGUUAAAUAAUUUUUUCUCUUUCACCUCCCUCUCGGCCCUUCUCAUCUCUUUCACGAUCUCUCUCACUUACACUCUUCAUCCUCUCAUUCUCUCUAAAAUUAGAAAUUAGGUUUUCUUGCUUUUCUUGCUCCACGCCGUGCUUUUUUUUGCUCUGAGAACACGCCUCCUCCGCGACACACAAGGAGCCGCCAUCAAUUAGGUUUUCGUCUCCUCCAC
This 423-nucleotide long non-coding RNA is filed under the name Vigna radiata. RNAcentral's name for it is "long non-coding RNA (VRAD_LNC008988)". Lineage: Eukaryota; Viridiplantae; Streptophyta; Magnoliopsida; Fabales; Fabaceae. The record is from RNAcentral.